UCCCUGCCACCAUGUAUGAAGUCGUGGACCCUUAUCAUCCGACAGACACUUCUCGCUCACAUCCCUCAUCCACUUUCAACGUUUCUAGAGAGGUCAUCAAGACUGGAUGUGUUACAACGUCAAUGUUCAUAGCAUUUCGCAAGUUUAUCCGGGAUGAGAAACAGAGGUCAUGUUGCCUCUUUGGGCAAAUUUGGUUCAGAACACCACGUCAAAGGUCCAUUUAUCAUUCAAGGUGACAAGGAGCC
Molecule: long non-coding RNA, 245 nt
Organism: Cynara cardunculus var. scolymus (artichoke)
Lineage: Eukaryota; Viridiplantae; Streptophyta; Magnoliopsida; Asterales; Asteraceae
Exons: 3
Source: RefSeq, a predicted model, not a curated record